Molecule: long non-coding RNA, 1524 nt
Organism: Oryzias melastigma (Indian medaka)
Lineage: Eukaryota; Metazoa; Chordata; Actinopteri; Beloniformes; Adrianichthyidae
Exons: 3
Source: RefSeq, a predicted model, not a curated record
GGGGUUAGUAUGGAGAACUCAAAUAAAACAACAUUUUAAGCUCACAUAUUUCAGUUUGUUUGAUAAUGUUAUAAUAUUAAGUUGUCAACUUAUUUAAAUAACAACAACAGAAUAUUAAGUUGGUAAUACUUAAUUUCCUGUUGAGCAUUCUUGUAAAGGGGCAGCCACAUCGGAAAGACAGACCACGGCAGAGGAGGAAAAUAACGUACGAAGCUCAUUUAAGAACUUCGUUCUUUGGAUGAAGAUGAUGACAUCACCGGCGAGGUCUUGAAAAUUGUCGUCACAAGAAGGACUACACCAGUUCGCGCAGGCAUCGUGGUUGAGGGAACUGAAGUCCUUGGAGACCUUGAUGUUCCCAGAGCGUGCGCCUUGCUCAUGGGACUGAUAUAUGCCCUGAACAUCACUUACCCAAAAGGUCUAAGGAACACCUUAGAGGUAUUUCAGAAACUAUUCCUUGAGCUUGAUGCCCUGAAAGCGAGUCCAAAGGUAAUGUCUUUGAGAAAUAAACUUCUGAUGUAAAAAGUGUGAAGAACUUGGCAGGAAUUGUUCGUCCAAAACAGUGGUAUUGAACUUCAGGCCUGGAGGAUUGACGUCCUGCUGGUUUUCGACGUAUUUCUGCAUCAUGAUUACCUGAUCUGGUUUGUCCAGCCAGUUAGAAGCAAGAAUGGGGAAUCAAGGAGGGCAUUUGGUGGAAGAGAAGGGUUCAUUUUGGUUUCCACCAAAGUCCUCUUUUCUGCUUUUGAUUGGCUGAACACACGUGACCAGGUGAUUAGCAGGAAGUAGAGCAGGAAAACCCAGAAAACCAGCAAGACAUCUGUCCUCAAAGCCUGAAAUUUGACCCAAGUUCUGAAAAGAAAUGUUACUGUCCUGCUGAGUUUUUUUGUUUUUUGAUGUACAUGUAGCAGCUACAAUGUUAACUGUUAGCAUGUUAACAAAUGUUUAAGUAAAGCAGCUUCAACAAGUCUGAAAAAAACAGUUUUACGUAUGUUUGAAUUUUUAAGGUCUUGUGUCACUGAAGUAUUUUUUUUUUAUUUGUACAAUAUGCAGGAUAUAUUGCUGAAGUUGCCACCAAUAUUUGUUUACUUUUUGGGGAUCUUCAAUUUUUUCAGAAGCAUAUGAAACAUGCAUUCAUAAAGUGGAUCGCUUUUUUAUUUUUUAUUUUUUUUUUUUUCGUGACAUACUUCAAAAAAAGUGUAUUGUUGAAAAAGAUUGUACAGUAAAAAAUUGAAGCACAAACUAGAAUGGUGGUGUUUGUUCCAACUGAGGUAAAUAAGUUCACAGUACAGCAAAAAUUAAGGUAACAAUUUGCAUGGACUUUUUUGAGUUAAAGUUAAGCUAAAAAUUAAGUUGAAAUAGCUUAAAUAAAAUAAUUUGCUAACUAGCAUUCACCAAAGGUUUUUAUGUAAAAAUGCAAAAUAAUUUAUGCUUGCAGAACCAAGAAAAUGAAGUUGAUCAAACUAAAAAAAUUUAGUUGAAAUAGCUUAAAUAAAAUAAUUUGCCAACUUAAAUUCACCGAAAGAUUUU